RNAcentral lists this ribosomal RNA (799 nucleotides) under uncultured Bacillota bacterium. RNAcentral's name for it is "bacterial SSU rRNA". It matches the Rfam family "Bacterial small subunit ribosomal RNA", at positions 1 to 799 of the family's 1533-position model. The record is from RNAcentral. Lineage: Bacteria; Bacillati; Bacillota.
AGGAGAGUUUGAUCCUGGCUCAGGACGAACGCUGGCGGCGUGCCUAACACAUGCAAGUCGAACGAAGCUUGAUGAAUGAAUUCUUCGGAAUGAUUUCUGAUAUGACUUAGUGGCGGACGGGUGAGUAACGCGUGAGCAACCUGCCUUUCAGAGGGGGAUAGCGUUUGGAAACGAACGAUAAUACCGCAUAACAUCAUUUUACUGCAUGGUAGAAUGAUCAAAGGAGUAAUCCGCUGAAAGAUGGGCUCGCGUCUGAUUAGAUAGUUGGUGGGGUAACGGCCCACCAAGUCGACGAUCAGUAGCCGGACUGAGAGGUUGAACGGCCACAUUGGGACUGAGACACGGCCCAGACUCCUACGGGAGGCAGCAGUGGGGAAUAUUGCACAAUGGGGGAAACCCUGAUGCAGCAACGCCGCGUGAGGGAAGACGGUUUUCGGAUUGUAAACCUUUGUCUUUGGUGAAGAAGAAGUGACGGUAGCCAAGGAGGAAGCCACGGCUAACUACGUGCCAGCAGCCGCGGUAAUACGUAGGUGGCAAGCGUUGUCCGGAAUUACUGGGUGUAAAGGGAGCGCAGGCGGGUCUUCAAGUCAGCUGUGAAAACCACGGGCUUAACCUGUGGACUGCAGUUGAAACUGUAGAUCUUGAGUGAAGUAGAGGUAGGCGGAAUUCCGAGUGUAGCGGUGAAAUGCGUAGAUAUUCGGAGGAACACCAGUGGCGAAGGCGGCCUACUGGGCUUUAACUGACGCUGAGGCUCGAAAGUGUGGGGAGCAAACAGGAUUAGAUACCCUGGUAGUCCCCU